GUAGGUGAACCUGCGGAAGGAUCAUUAACACGUUCUUAACAAAACGUUUUAAAAACCCCAAACUUUAAUCUGUGAACUUAACUUUUUCCUCCCCUAUCGUUUUUUUAAUUAAAAACACCCCCUUAUUUUGAUACUACCUGUACUGAAACAAAACCAUUAUCGAAAAAAGAAUUAACUUUCCUUUUUUGAGAAUUAAAAAAAUGCUGAACAACUCUUAACAACGGAUAUCUUGGUUCUCGCAUCGAUGAAG
RNAcentral lists this unclassified non-coding RNA (250 nucleotides) under plant metagenome. RNAcentral describes it as "partial contains small subunit ribosomal RNA, internal transcribed spacer 1, and 5.8S ribosomal RNA". The record is from RNAcentral.